CGGGUGAGUAUCGCGUAGGGAUUUGUCGUUGGGUGGGGGAUAACCGCGGGAAACUGCGGCUAAUACCGCAUGACGCCUGUGGGCCAAAGCCGGGUGACCGGUGCCUGACGAGGAGCCUGCGUCCGAUUAGCUAGUUGGUUGGGUAAUGGCUGACCAAGGCUGUGAUCGGUAGCUGGUCUGAGAGGAUGAUCAGCCACACUGGGACUGAGACACGGCCCAG
RNAcentral lists this ribosomal RNA (220 nucleotides) under uncultured bacterium. RNAcentral describes it as "partial 16S ribosomal RNA". It matches the Rfam family "Bacterial small subunit ribosomal RNA", at positions 103 to 334 of the family's 1533-position model. The record is from RNAcentral.